Solanum lycopersicum (tomato) is the source of this 609-nucleotide non-coding RNA. The record is from RefSeq and is a predicted model, not a curated record. Lineage: Eukaryota; Viridiplantae; Streptophyta; Magnoliopsida; Solanales; Solanaceae.
AAGAACGGAAGAAAUCGAUUUUCGUCACAAAUUCUGUCAAAGUUCAGUUGAGAACACCAUUUUCAGUCGAAGAAUCAAAGAGCAAUGUGACUCCUCUAAGGCGAACUGAAGAAGAAGAUCCUCCUCUCCGAGCUUCGUUGUUCAAGAUUGGAGAGCUGAAGAAGACGAUUUUCUUCAAAAAUUCUUGGGUAAAGUGUUGUUCCAUCAGAUUUUCUUUUGAAAGUUGAAAGAAAAUGCUUCACAAAUCAACUUGCUUCAUAUCUUAAAGCUUUAGGGUUGUUGGAAUAGAGUUUAUCAGAAGCUGAAGCUAAGUCAAAAGUAUCUGAAGAACUGAGUUGUAGCUAAGUUAUCUUUCUUCGAAGAACUGAAGUGUUGAAGCUGGUGAUACCUAUAAUAUUUUGUCCCUAAUAUAGAUUUCGUCAAGUGUAAGUAGCUACUCUACAUGAAUUUGAAAAAGUUUUAAUGUAUGUUUUAAUGUUACUGUUUUUUUAGUCUUUUUUAGUCUUCCUGAGUUCAUGAUUGUGCUCGUCUUAAGCUUGGUUUGUUCCUUUGUUAACAACAUUGAUUCUGUCUUGUAGCUAUUUGCUGGUAAAAUUUUUCUUUUUUCGA